Molecule: ribosomal RNA, 253 nt
Filed under: uncultured bacterium
Lineage: Bacteria
Description: partial 16S ribosomal RNA
Rfam family: Bacterial small subunit ribosomal RNA
Source: RNAcentral
UACGUAGGUGGCAAGCGUUAUCCGGAAUUACUGGGCGUAAAGCGCACGCAGGCGGCCCUUUAAGUUUGACGUGAAAGCUCCUGGCUUAACUGGGAGAGGUCGUUGAAGACUGGAGGGCUUGAGACGAUGAGAGGGGUGCAGAAUUCCCGGUGUAGUGGUGGAAUGCGUAGAUAUCGGGAGGAAUACCAGUGGCGAAGGCGGCACCCUGGCAUCGGUCUGACGCUCAUGUGCGAAGGCGUGGGGAGCGAACGGG